RNAcentral lists this ribosomal RNA (445 nucleotides) under uncultured bacterium. Its description in RNAcentral is "partial 16S ribosomal RNA". It matches the Rfam family "Bacterial small subunit ribosomal RNA", at positions 354 to 796 of the family's 1533-position model. The record is from RNAcentral.
GUAGGGAAUAUUGGGCAAUGGAUGCAAGUCUGACCCAGCCAUCCCGCGUGCCGGAAGAAGGCCCUCAGGGUUGUAAACGGCUUUUGACGGUGAAGAACCGACAGGAUGCGUCCUGUUUUGACGGUAGCCGUUGAAUAAGCACCGGCUAACUCCGUGCCAGCAGCCGCGGUAAUACGGAGUGUGCGAGCGUUGUCCGGAUUUAUUGGGUUGAAAGGGUGCGUAGGCUGGAAGGUCAGUCAGCGGUGAAAAGCUAUCGCUUAACGAUAGUCUUGCCGCAGAUACUUCCUUUCUUGGAUGAGGAGGAGGCCACUGGAACGGAUGGUGUAGCGGUGAAAUGCAUAGAUAUCAUCCAGAACACCGAUUGCGAAGGCAGGUGGCUGUACCUUAAUCGACGCUGAUGCACGAAAGCAUGGGGAGCAAACAGGAUUAGAAACCCGGGUAGUCC